UAUACAAGGGCAGACUCUCUCU
RNAcentral lists this microRNA (22 nucleotides) under Pan troglodytes (chimpanzee). Its description in RNAcentral is "ptr-miR-300". Its record names the gene ptr-miR-300. The record is from miRBase by way of RNAcentral. RNAcentral also lists the same sequence under 2 other names. Lineage: Eukaryota; Metazoa; Chordata; Mammalia; Primates; Hominidae.